GACUACAUGAAGCUGGAAUCGCUAGUAAUCGCGAAUCAGCAUGUCGCGGUGAAUACGUUCCCGGGUCUUGUACACACCGCCCGUCACACCAUGGGAGUUGGAAAUGCCCGAAGUCAGUGACCCAACCGAAAGGAGGGAGCUGCCGAAGGCAGGUUCGAUAACUGGGGUGAAGUCGUAACAAGGUAAC
Molecule: ribosomal RNA, 187 nt
Filed under: uncultured bacterium
Lineage: Bacteria
Description: partial 16S ribosomal RNA
Rfam family: Bacterial small subunit ribosomal RNA
Source: RNAcentral